This 253-nucleotide ribosomal RNA is filed under the name uncultured bacterium. Its description in RNAcentral is "partial 16S ribosomal RNA". It matches the Rfam family "Bacterial small subunit ribosomal RNA", at positions 524 to 776 of the family's 1533-position model. The record is from RNAcentral.
UACGAAGGGGGCUAGCGUUGCUCGGAAUCACUGGGCGUAAAGCGCACGUAGGCGGAUUGCUAAGUCAGGGGUGAAAUCCUGGAGCUCAACUCCAGAACUGCCUUUGAUACUGGCGAUCUUGAGUCCGGGAGAGGUGAGCGGAACUGCGAGUGUAGAGGUGAAAUUCGUAGAUAUUCGCAAGAACACCAGUGGCGAAGGCGGCUCACUGGCCCGGUACUGACGCUGAGGUGCGAAAGCGUGGGGAGCAAACAGG